Molecule: long non-coding RNA, 1413 nt
Filed under: Numida meleagris (helmeted guineafowl)
Lineage: Eukaryota; Metazoa; Chordata; Aves; Galliformes; Numididae
Description: lncRNA (ENSNMEG00000023097.1)
Source: RNAcentral
GUACAGAAGAACUCCUUGCUGAAAUGCAACUAUCUCUGGGGUGGAGCGCUACUCUUUGACUCCUCUGCAGAAGCAAAACGGAUCUGUAGACAAAGAUGCAAAAUCACAAUGGGAUGAAGAGUGAACUUGGGAGUGAACUCUCUGGGAAGUACAUAAGAGGGAUCAGAGCUCAUUGCACGUGAACUGAACAGCAUUGAAGGAAUAAAACAACUUACAAGCUACAUCAGUCCUGGAAAACAAAAGCAUUUUACAAAAGAUUUCCUCUUGUUUGAGUUGUGAUGUCCAACUGUGAUCGAUAAUCACUUCUUAUCCUGGUUGUUUUGUUGCUUCUGAGACAUGAAGUUUUCACUUUGAGCUUGGUUAAAGAGCCAAAUGAGGGGAUGCAGCUGUGUCCAAAUUAACCCUUAGCUCAGCAGUAGAGUUUUCUCAGGCUGCUUUGAGAAGAAAAACAUAGUUAAAACAACAAAAAGUUUUCACUUUUGCCUCAGGGGCUGGAAACCUAUUUUUCAGGCAGCUUAACUUCUGUCAUUCUCAGUGCGUCUCUUCAAAUUAGCUGCAGACAGUGAAAUAAAUAGGAAAUAUUGCCCGAGAGUCCUUGGUUUUGUCAGAAAGGACUUUGAAAAAGUAGAGGAGAAGAAAAAGGGAGCCUGAAUCAUGAAGGCCUGCCGUGUCUUUUUGCUGAUACGAAAUCAAAACUGACUGAGGUUAUGGUCAUUCAAUUAUUACAAAAACCCGUGUACAAGAAAACCUGUAAUUUGAUGAUGCUGGGUUAAACAUUCUGGACAAGACGCAGUGUGAUCUUCCUCAUGUUUGAAUUCUAAGUUUCAGCAAAGGAAAAAUAAUGCCAGGGUUCCUUGCAUGUGUGCACUUUGCUUUCUCAACAGAAAGAAAAAGAGAAAACAAAAGUGGAGGAGGUGUUCAAGAACUGUGGGGAUGUGGCACUGAGGAACAUGGUCAGUGGGCAUGGUGGGUUGGAUGGGGGUUGGACUGGGUGAGCCUAGAGGUCUUUUCCAACCUUCGUUAUUCAAAAUGGAGGAAAAUAAAGUGGAUCCUGGUGCUUGUGGUUGUUUUCAUUGCAAAGAAAACGACGUCUUUCUCAAAAUAAGAUAUACAUUGUUGUUAUUAUUUAUUGCAGUACCAGCCCCUUUUUGACAAUAGCCACUCUGGAAAUGUGCGUCUUCCCUGAAGUUAUGCUGGGAAUUGUAUAUUCCAUCAUUUCUGUGGGUAUCUGAGCCCUUUCUUUGAUGUUUUCCUUUCUUUUCCCAAAGUGCCAGCCUGCAAGGGUAUUUUCUGGGUAGAGCAAAGCUUGUGGUAGGCAGCCCCAUGUAUUCAACCAGAACUGCUAUAAAUGUCUUCUCCCUUUGUUGUCACUGCUCUAACACAGAGCGCUCACCGCUUUAUGCUGCUUCUCUG